RNAcentral lists this long non-coding RNA (3143 nucleotides) under Sus scrofa (pig). Its description in RNAcentral is "lncRNA (ENSSSCG00000062670.1)". The record is from RNAcentral. Lineage: Eukaryota; Metazoa; Chordata; Mammalia; Artiodactyla; Suidae.
AUUUUCAUAUUGCUCUUAGAGCCAUUUGUCUUUCAGAUCCUUCAGUGGGAAGGAUAGAAGAAUUGCUUCAAUGCUUCACUAACCUUUCUUCCAAUUUACUUCUCCCUGACAUUGCCAGUUACCCCGGAGCAGAUCCUGUCCUGCCUGUUGUGUGGUGUGGUUAGGAGCAGUUGCAGAGACAGAGCAGGCAGUUCUGUGGGAACUCGGGGGGCGCCUAGCAAGGGAAAGAGGAAUGAUGCCAAGGGGAGAAUGGCUGGGAGACAGAUACAGCCCUCUGAGAGCUCUAGAUGAAGAGCCCCAAAGAGGUCUAGGGCUGGGUAAAGCCUAAAAGCCACAGUCACGUCCCUGGUAAAGUAACAGGAAAGAGUCCCAAAGAGAAUAUGUUAAUAGAUUAUUGUGGUUGUAAGUCCAUGGGUUUUACCAGCAUAUGUUUUUAUUCAACGGUGGAAAGGAUGUGUAUUUCUUGGGUUGGCAUGAUAGAAUACUGCCCUUCACCAAAAAAUAAAACAUAAAGAGCUGGCUUUAGCUGACUGUGGGCUUUGGUGCUAUUUCCCUCUAUAGAUGGCUGUGCUUGGAAAGUUAAGUGAAGGCAGAUUUGGGGGGUGGAAGAAGCGGGUGAGACACACUGGAAGGUGGUGGGGCAGUCGGGGUGGGCAGAGGUGUUGCAAUGUUGGUAAAGAAGGACUUAGCAUCUCCUGCAACACCAAACCUCUUUGCUCCAGACUAUAGAAAAGUUCAGUCCCCUUGUCUAAACACAGGCUAAGAGCAGGGACAGCUUGCUUUAUUAGGCAGAGAAUACAAAAAUGUAAAUGUCAACCAAAGUUUACAGUGUUGCCAUCCGUGUACGUCCUCUGCUGUAAUUCUUCUCAAAUCCUGGGAAAUCUCUGAAAUUCUCUCGUGAGAAAGGGAAGAAUCCUUCCUAUUCCAAGAGCUUGGAGCUGCUGGAAGUGAUUAGUCCUGGUAGCCUUCAGUUUCCCUCUGCUCUUUGCUGGUUUACUUCCAGAUUGCAGAUAAAGUGUGGCUCCCUUUAAAUGCUUCUUUUAUGAUGUUGACGAUGUGCAGUCACUUGAUGUUCUGACUUUAAGCCACAUCAAACAUUUCACACUUAGCCACCUAUAUUUCUCCUGAAGCAGCUUUGUCCUUGAUUUGUCACACCUGCAUCUGUUUUGACUAGCUCACACAAUCCGAACACUUUUACCUCUAAAACAAUUCCUCUGCCUAUGCCAAUCCUUCCUGCAGUCAUUGCCUGCAAUAUAUAUAUAUUUCAUAAAUGCACAGAUUCUAAAUUUUUAAGUGCAUAGAUUCAAAAAUGCAGAGAUUCCAAUUUUUUAAAAAACUAAGCAAAAAGGGGGGAAAAUGACAUUCUCUAAGCUAGCCUUCUUUUAUUUUUUAGUGAAAACUCUUUUCCAUCAUAAUAAACUUAGUUUCAGGAGAGUGUUAAUAUUUAAGAUUUAAAUGUUGGAAUAGAAAUCAGGACCAAAUUUAAAUUCCAGACCUAGGAGUUGAUCUCAGAUAUUUUGGUAGAAGAUUUUAGAGAAGGUGGUGCUGCUGUUCAUUUUUGUUUUAGUAUUUGAUGUCAAAACACUAAAUUGCCAUCAAACCUUAUAGAUUGGGAAGAAAAUGACUUGGCAGAAAAUGACUGCCCAUAAUGCCCAAGUAUCAGCUAAGAUGUUUGUUUAGUCUGAAAGAUUGCCAAACCCAUCUGUGUUGAGGAAAGAACUUUGAGGUUGUCCCAAAGAAAACUAAAACAACACAAAGCAAAACAAAAAGGCUCUUCCAGAAGUUGGAAAUUCAAUGUAUUACAUGCCCAGAAUAUGAAGGGUAAAGCUGAAGGCUUUUGGAAAGUUCCAGUGACAGUGCUUACAGAAUUCUGUGCCUUUGGAAAAAGUGAUGGCCAACAAAGCAGCAUUAGGACGCUGUUCAAUCACAGUGAGCUGCCUUCUCCCCAAAUAAAUUGUACCUUGGAAAAUUGAGGUGGAUAAAAAUAUUUUAGUAUUUGAGAAUGUACUGUUCCUUCACCUCCCACCACAUGUAAAUCAAAGAUGCUCUGCAACGUCUUAUGACACAGCUUGAUAAUCAUUAAUCUCAAGACUAUUCUCCAACCUUUUGGAUUCUGUACACCAUUAGUAAAAUACUUAGUACACUGGCAAUCUAUUAUAAAUACAUAAAAAUAAAUUUGAUCAUGUAAGUAUUAUUAAUAUUUAUGAUUAAUAAAUAGAACAUACUUCUGUCAAUCUGAUAUGUAUGCUACGACAUAAUAGUAAAGUGGAUUUGUAAAUGAGCAUGAAUAUAAAUAGAAAUUCUAGUAUUUUCUUCACUCACUCUAGUGAAUCAUCUUUGUAUUACACUCUGGAAAUUCUUACAAAAGGCCAGUGGGUCAUAUCACUUUGAGAACUGGAUAAAGAUAAGGGACAUAGACCACCAUGCUUCUAAACAUGUGCACACGCCUCUACACGCCAGGACAGAUGUGCAUUUCCAGAGGUUUGGGGUUCUCUGAAACCAACUCCUAGGCCACCCCAGUGAUGUCGCAGUGACCCUCACAUUAAGAAUUUAUUCCCUAGAAGGGAAAAAAACAGCAAAUCAUAUUUGAAAUGAGAAGAGAAUGGAUAACUAGAAGAUGUCUGUGAAUUUUGGUUUACAUGUGACCAUUUUUGAUUUCUGAGGAGUAAAAGGAAUUUGUUCUUUUGGUCUUGUUCUGUAGAAUGUUACAUGGGGUUUCACAUGUGGGCAACUAAAAUUUUCUUUUCAAUGAAUAUUUAACAUAUCUCUCAAUAUAGUUCCUCAAGCUUUUGGUAAAUGUGCAUUGUUCUAGGUAUCACAAUUUUUUUUCUGGUUUAAAUACUUUUCAUUUUUCCUCCAUGUAAAAUAGAAUAGUUGUUGAACUUUGCAUUGAAAAUCUUCUUGAUGUUAACAACACUUCUUUUAUUAUUACUUUCCCUGUUGCUUUAAAUAACACAUUUAUUUUGAAUUCUGCUUCUGGUCGAGUUGCAAAAUCUAUCAGAAAGUUAUCCUGGGUCUCAGCAGUUUGUUAGAUAUUGCUGCCACAUAAAUAUUGUAAUGGAAGUUAAAUAAAAAUCUUCUUAACAUUUAAAAUGAGUUCUGUUUAAAAGAAAGUGAACAGUUGAAACAAGUAAAAAUACUAU